UUGCUUCUUCUGAUUUAGCGGCGGACGGGUGAGUAACACGUGGGCAACCUACCUAGUAGAUUGGGAUAACUCCGGGAAACCGGGGCUAAUACCGAAUAAUCCAUUUUGUCACAUGGCAAAAUGCUGAAAGGCGGUUUCGGCUGUCACUACUAGAUGGGCCCGCGGUGCAUUAGCUAGUUGGUGGGGUAAUGGCCUACCAAGGCAACGAUGCAUAGCCGACCUGAGAGGGUGAUCGGCCACAUUGGGACUGAGACACGGCCCAAACUCCUACGGGAGGCAGCAGUAGGGAAUCUUCCACAAUGGACGAAAGUCUGAUGGAGCAACGCCGCGUGAGUGAUGAAGGUUUUCGGAUCGUAAAACUCUGUUGUAAGGGAAGAACAAGUACGUUAGUAACUGAACGUACCUUGACGGUACCUUAUUAGAAAGCCACGGCUAACUACGUGCCAGCAGCCGCGGUAAUACGUAGGUGGCAAGCGUUGUCCGGAUUUAUUGGGCGUAAAGCGCGCGCAGGUGGUUUCUUAAGUCUGAUGUGAAAGCCCACGGCUCAACCGUGGAGGGUCAUUGGAAACUGGGAGACUUGAGUGCAGAAGAGGAAAGUGGAAUUCCAAGUGUAGCGGUGAAAUGCGUAGAGAUUUGGAGGAACACCAGUGGCGAAGGCGACUUUCUGGUCUGUAACUGACACUGAGGCGCGAAAGCGUGGGGAGCAAACAGGAUUAGAUACCCUGGUAGUCCACGCCGUAAACGAUGAGUGCUAAGUGUUAGGGGGUUUCCGCCCCUUAGUGCUGCAGCUAACGCAUUAAGCACUCCG
Molecule: ribosomal RNA, 808 nt
Filed under: Viridibacillus sp.
Lineage: Bacteria; Bacillati; Bacillota; Bacilli; Caryophanales; Caryophanaceae
Description: bacterial SSU rRNA
Rfam family: Bacterial small subunit ribosomal RNA
Source: RNAcentral